Molecule: long non-coding RNA, 555 nt
Organism: Rana temporaria (common frog)
Lineage: Eukaryota; Metazoa; Chordata; Amphibia; Anura; Ranidae
Exons: 3
Source: RefSeq, a predicted model, not a curated record
UGUGGAAAGGGUGCAGCCAACUGUAGGUGUUCUCUCAGCAGAAAGGAUCUGGCAGGCGGUAGAUCCUGAGAUAACGGCUGGACGCAGUGUUUGUGAGGCAAUCCUAUUCAUAUCAACUGGGACGCAGACGUGAAUGGACGCCGCUCUCAGGCGCUGACAGUUCAUCACCCACAGAACUACAGCUAAAUCGAAUCCUUGUCGGUGUCUCGCUCACCUCACCAUUAGAAAAAGAUAUAAUGGAGGCCGUUUAUUUCACCAGACCGGAAGGUUUUAGAAUGGCGACCUAUCAGCUUGUCCGGAGCCUUUGUCAGAUGGCGACUUCUUUUAUUGCCAUUCUGUUCGCCUGCAGCAAACUAUUUCUGUUACUCACCAGCAUGCUCGUGACAGGGCAUGAGAUGUGCAGGUCGCUCAUCAAUAUCACCUUGGCGGCGUUGAGCGGAUUAUGGCUCCUCAUUUUAGGUGUCAUAUUCAUAUCGAGGAUCUUAAGAUAUGUCAUAGGGCACUUCUUUUAAAAACUGGAUGCGCAGAAAUAAAAAUAUAAAUUCUUUGGCAGAU